GAGUUUGAUCGUGGCUCAGAUUGAACGCUGGCGGCAUGCCUUACACAUGCAAGUCGAACGGUAGCAGGUCUUUUUGGAUGCUGACGAGUGGCGAACGGGUGAGUAAGACAUCGGAACGUACCCGACUGUGGGGGAUAACGAGGCGAAAGCUUUGCUAAUACCGCAUAAGUUCUGCGGAAGAAAGCUGGGGACCCAUUUGGGCCUGGCGCAGACGGAGCGGCCGAUGGCAGAUUGGGUAGUUGGUGGGAUAAAAGCUUACCAAGCCAACGAUCUGUAGCUGGUCUGAGAGGAUGAUCAGCCACACUGGGACUGAGACACGGCCCAGACUCCUACGGGAGGCAGCAGUGGGGAAUUUUGGACAAUGGGGGCAACCCUGAUCCAGCCAUGCCGCGUGCAGGACGAAGGCCUUCGGGUUGUAAACUGCUUUUGUACGGAACGAAAGGGACUGCUUUAAUAGGGUAGUUUUAUGACGGUACCGUAAGAAUAAGCACCGGCUAACUACGUGCCAGCAGCCGCGGUAAUACGUAGGGUGCGAGCGUUAAUCGGAAUUACUGGGCGUAAAGCGUGCGCAGGCGGUAUUGUAAGACAGAGGUGAAAUCCCUGGGCUCAACCUGGGAACUGCCUUUGUGACUGCAAUGCUGGAGUGCGGCAGAGGGGGAUGGAAUUCCGCGUGUAGCAGUGAAAUGCGUAGAUAUGCGGAGGAACACCGAUGGCGAAGGCAAUCCUCUGGGCCUGCACUGACGCUCAUGCACGAAAGCGUGGGGAGCAAACAGGAUUAGAUACCCUGGUAGUCCACGCCCUAAACGAUGUCAACUGGUUGUUGGGGAUUGAUUUUCUCAGUAACGAAGCUAACGCGUGAAGUUGACCGCCUGGGGAGUACGGCCGC
RNAcentral lists this ribosomal RNA (886 nucleotides) under uncultured Burkholderiales bacterium. Its description in RNAcentral is "bacterial SSU rRNA". It matches the Rfam family "Bacterial small subunit ribosomal RNA", at positions 9 to 889 of the family's 1533-position model. Lineage: Bacteria; Pseudomonadati; Pseudomonadota; Betaproteobacteria; Burkholderiales. The record is from RNAcentral.